CAUUAUUGAAUUUGGAUUUCCAUAUUCUUACACCUGUGCACUUUUUGUAGGCCAUUCAUUUGGUCUAUGUCUUUUUAAUAACACAUCUUUAUAAAAUUGUGAAUGGAAAAUGGGAUAAAUAAUACAACUUUCAACAACGGAUCUCUUGGCUCUCGCAUCGAUGAAGAACGCAGCGAAAUGCGAUAAGUAAUGUGAAUUGCAGAAUUCAGUGAAUCAUCAAAUCUUUGAACGCACCUUGCGCUCCUUGGUAUUCCGAGGAGCAUGCCUGUUUGAGUGUCAUUAAAUUCUCAAAAAGUCUUUAUUCUUAAGGAUUUUUUUUGGACUUGGAGUGUUUGCUGGCUUGUCAGCUCCUCUUAAAUGCAUUAGCUUGUGCUCUGUGGAUGUAGCUUUGGUUUGAUAGUAUCUAUGCCAUCGCUUUUGAAACAAAUGAUUCAGGCUUCUAACAACCAAUCUCUUUGACAUUUUGACCUCAAAUCAGGUAGGACUACCCGCUGAACUUAA
This 501-nucleotide ribosomal RNA is filed under the name Hygrophorus russula. RNAcentral describes it as "eukaryotic LSU rRNA". The stretch from base 126 to 279 matches the Rfam family "5.8S ribosomal RNA". Lineage: Eukaryota; Fungi; Basidiomycota; Agaricomycetes; Agaricales; Hygrophoraceae. The record is from RNAcentral.